UCUUUUUUUUUUUUUUUUUUUUUUUGCAUGAGCGGACAUUUCUGGGGCUACAAUCACCAUGUCAACCGCGGGCACUUGUUGCUAUACGUAUUGCGUCAUUUUGCACGUAAAAAACAACUUCAAAAUAAAAGCAAUGCAGCCUUACCCAUGCAUGAGGUAAAAUGAGAAAAUACAUUUAUUUUGUAAUUUCCAAUUAACCUUACGCGGGCCGGUCAAAGUCAACCAAAGGGCAGUAUGUGGCCCGCGGGCCGUAAAAUGCCCAGGUCUGCCCUAAAGGAAGACUACGGGCACGCUGGCCAGGGAACGCUUUGGGAUUCCGAUGCAGGGGCUGGCCCAAGUUGCUGGGGAGAGGGAAGUCUGGGCCUCUCUGCUUAGACUGCUGCCCUGACGACCUGACGACCUGACUCCGGAUAAGUGGACAAAAAAUGGAUGGAUGGAUGGAUGGAUGGAAGUUGUAUCUCUUUCUGGUGUAAAACAUGUUUUUUUCUUUCACUAGGCUGCCAUGGCUGACCAGAAACACUGGUGAGGGGUAACUUUGGAAGGCUUCCCUAUUCAUGAUGACACGUUCAUGUCAUGAGCCGGGGAUUCCUGUCGGUCUCAUUGGAUACUAACCUCUACUCCAGGAUUUGGACAUUCAGCACGCGGACCUUAUCACCAACCUUCAUAACCCACCUCUCAUCUCAACCCAGUGCCCCAUCCACCAGGACGCCCCGCUUCUCUCCACCUAUGCUCCCUCUCCUGCGCUUCCCCCCCGGCUCUCUACCUCUCCCUCCUCCAGCCAACACAUACUCACCCCACAACGCUGAGCUGUCGUAGCAGUUCCAACCACAGACUUAUCUGUGCAUCCUAAGUUCCUCUGUUAUAAAUAAAUCAUUUUACCAUCCGUUUUUAGUCUGUUUUGCAUUCUGCAUGUCUUGGGUUAGGUACCUUCCUCCAAACAUGACAGUUCAUUGCUGGACUUGGUUUGACAGUGAAAGCACGUCUUUGGUUGAAACAUCCAACUUCUAUCCAUCUGUUCUUUCUCUCGCUCUUUCUCCCUCUUUUUUUCUUUGAUGUUGCCCUCCCCCCUCCCUCCCUGCAUCACUUUUUGCAUAUUCAGUUCAUGGUUAAAUUGAUGGAUUAAGUUAUCCCUGGCUCAAAAUCAAUCGUAGCUUUCUUCUUCUCCUUCCUUUACAUCGGACCACAAUGCCAGUAAGAGGCAUGGAGACUGCACUGAGAUGCUGAUAAGGCUCGGUCCCAUUAUGUGUCAUUUUAAACAAAGAAGCGAAGCAGCCUGUGGAGACGCCCCUAUCAGCCAUUAAACAGAGAUGUAGCACGCAGCCUGAGAUUAAUGAUUAGCAUUUUCUCCUGGUAGAAUAACGAUGCAGGCCUGGACCAGUGAUAACAAGGGAGAGUACAAAAACUGCUUCCCUUUCCUCUCUCUUUUCUUUACUUUAUUUUACCAUCUGUUCUUAACCUAAAGAUAAAUAUCAUUUCUUGUAAGUUUCUUCUUGUAUUUCUCCAUUCCUAUUUUUUCCAUGCUCCCUUCCUCUCAAAUCCACCUCUAAACCCUCCCUCACCCUUCACAAAGGCAAAUAAAUGCAUGGGCCAUGUUGCUGUCCUUUUGUCUUGCAUCCUUGUGUAAUCUGUUAGAAGUGGACAACUUGGAAUCCCUUAUGUCACAGUCGGAGACUUGUAAGUCCUAGCCAGAUACAAGGCAGAAUGACAUGGGAUGAAAGAGGGGUAAAGGGGGAGAUUGAAGUAACAGUUUGAUAGGAGCGUGUUGGGCUUUUGUUUUCUUUACUGUGAGAACCAGUGUCAGCAAUUGUGCUGAGACAGAUUUAACUACAGGGAAAGACUGUGAAACAGCUGGAUUUUAAAUGUUGCAGAUAGACCUUCUUCAUUUCCCCCUCGCUGCUAUUGAAUGCAAAUUUUUGCUACCACAGCUAAAUUCUGCUGUUUCUGUCCUGAGCAUGGUUCUUGUUUUAAAACCAGAGUGUCUUUGAGCUGUGGUUGUCAAACACACUGAAUUGGGACAAAAAUGUAAAAUUUUUAGUUAGAAUUACAAUGAAAAAGAGCAUUAGGUAGUUUUCUGAUAAGUUUUAUCAAUUAAAGGGUCACUUUGGGUAAACUAAGUAAAUGUAAACUGUAGUGUUAAGGAUUGACUACAUAUAUAUUAAACAAUCAAUAAGAUGUGAUGUUCUGUAUAAAUAUGAAAUAUCAAUCUGAUUGGUCUUUGAAUGUUUAAUCCGAAGACUUUAGUUUCUUUGACUUAUUCAGGAAACACACACUUCAUAAUAAACCAGACAGAGUCAGGAUAAAGUUAUUAAAAUGAUUUUAAUUCUAUUUUCUAAACUAAAUGAUUGUACUUGAUGAUGGUUGUACAGAUGUUUUAGCAAAACCUUUCUAAGUAUCUGAGAGAGCUUGUGGUGUCUGGGUUAUAGCAUCAGUUUGGCUGUAUGGUUUGAUAAGCUAAACUUUAUUUAUGAAACCAUCCAACGCAAUCGUGCAGAGUCUAUUGGUGUUCUAGCCGUUAUUAACUUGUGUUUAUAAACUUAGACAAAUCAGAGUUUGACACGUUUAAGAGGGCGUUACCAAAAUGCCUCAGAAAUCGCUCCUUCACUCAGAUACUCAGAGGUCAACGCUCAGUGUGAAGUGAAAAUGUCUUUCCACAUAAACAUGAAGUGAAUGUUAAAACCUCAUUAUUGAUCUUGUGAUGUAUGAGUAUACUGACAGAUUCAUGUGUUAAAGCAACACAUACUGAUCUGGUGUAGUUUAAGAUCUGAAAUGAACCAUUGCAGGAAAAAUACUCAUUUUAACACAUCAUAGAUUAAUGCACACAUUAUUCAAACACUUAGGCAUUUAACAAGAGAUAAUUAUAUAACACUUAUGCAAUUAUCAAGUUUUUAAAAGUCAUUUAUGAUUCAAGAACGAUAAACUUUAUUCAGAGUGAGGAUGCAGAAGUCUUGUCUCCUGCAUGACUUUUGUUCCAGCCACGAUAAGGCGGCUGGCCCUUAUUAUGUCUCCUUUAUCUGGUGACAAGGCCUUGUGCAGCAUUUUCUGGUUUGGAGGUCAGACAGAUGGGAUGUUUGUGUCUGCAAAUUAAAAAGUUCAUUUCUGGUCAUUUUGAUGUGAAUACUUGACCUUUGGGUGUGCAAUCAAAUGAAUUGUGACAUUUUUGUGAGUUUUAAGGGUCAAAUUUACUCAUAUUUUAAUACGUUUGCAGUGGUUUCUAGUAGGAAUGAAAGACUUGUGAGUUGUUCUCUGGGAGAAAAAAAUCCCUGGUGCACCAAUUUGAGAAAGUGAAAGUCAGCUGGAGUAGAAGGUAGCAGAUCAAGGCAGGAUUUGGAGUCUUAUAUCCUGAUAUUUGGACAUCUUGCCUCUGAUUGGCUAGCAGCAACCCCUCUAUAACUGACUGUUUGCUUUACAACAUCAAUGUUUUAUCUUCACAAAUAACACAAGACUGGGGGAGUUCUGCUGUCUGGUGGAGUUGCUAAUGCUAACGGUUAGCUUCUACUAGCGGAGACGUCCUUUGCUGUUUCCUGGAAGCUAAAACAACAACAGCCUUCCCUGUCAUGAGUCCAGAUGGGUGAGUCCAUGAAUGUUAAGUGACAGUGUGACGUAGAUCUGUCAGGCUUUUCUAAUCCUUGAGUUUCACCGCCUGUUUUCUAUCAGAAGCUAAAACAGGUGUAGAAGAGUGUUAACUUUUUUUUUACAGCAUCUAGUUGCAAAGUCUUCCCAAAGUUGUUACAGAUCUCACACACCUUCUGACUCAUGGAUACUAAACUGAGAAGAGUUCAAGGUGGGUUUGAGAUGUCUGCCAAAGACUCUGAGACUGUUGGAAGAGAAAAGGUCAAAAAAAUAUUGUGAAUCAUUUCAAAAGCCCGGCAAAGUGAAAGUAAGGCCCUGUGACUCACCUGAAGAUAUUUAGAACUCUCCCAAAUGUUUUCAAGAUGUUCUAAUGAAGCUCCUAACACGAACAGAACAUGCAAAGGUUUUCUUCUUCAAUCACUACAGGUUAACUCAUUCGCUGCCAGCUUUUUCCUGAUAGGUAAAGGCCUUCGCUGCCAGCGUUUCUCACCGUUUUUACUGUUUUUUUAAGAGCUACAGAGCAUUGCGCGCUAGGAUGAUGUCGACGCCAAAACAACCAAAACAAAGCGGAGACUCACCUCUUACAUAAGGAAGAAUCCGCACGUUUCAAGCGUUAUCCGUUCUUUCACAAUCCGUUGUUGAAUUGCUUUUCCGGUUCGCGCCUCCCUUUUUUUACAGUAGCGGCCCAAAAUGAUCUCCUAACACGUGGAUUUUCUGCUUCAUGAUCAUGUGACGUGUAACGUAUGCAGAUGAAGAUCGGCUUUAGAGUUGAGAUGUUUGUUCUCACGGUGCGGGGGCUCGUCCGACGCCCACACAGUAAAAAAUGCAAAUGGCGACUUUAGUCCUCAUUGGCAGUGAACUGUUGGAUUUAAAAUGAUGACUUUAGUAAUCAAUGGCAGUGAAUGAGUUAAGAAGCAUCUCAAAGGGAUACUUUGCAACUUUUUCAGAUUUUUAAAUCAUUUUCAGCAUGUGCUAAAAUGACCCUUAACAAGGUUAAUGAAAGGCCACCCUAUUGCCCUCGUGGCCAGAAUAUUCCACUUGCAACUUCAGACUGGUGGGCCGCUCUGUUGGGACUUUGGAGCUGGUGAGCUGAUGUCACUCUCAUGAUCGCCAGCUCCCCAGCUCCUGUGUCUGUGCAU
Molecule: non-coding RNA, 4709 nt
Organism: Nothobranchius furzeri (turquoise killifish)
Lineage: Eukaryota; Metazoa; Chordata; Actinopteri; Cyprinodontiformes; Nothobranchiidae
Source: RefSeq, a predicted model, not a curated record